GGGGGGGUACUUUCCCUAUAUAAUGUCCUCUAUUCUCCACGCAGAUAUUUUUCUUGCUCUUCGCUCUAUUUCAUUCCCCUUCUCUCAUCUCUUUCCAUCUCUAUUGAACUUGUGUUACAGAUCAUAAGUUUUUGAAAGACAUGCCAUGUAAUCACGAUCCAGCAUUGAGGAAAAGCCGUUGCUUGUUUUCGCAGGUGUCUUUUCCCUUGUGGCUAGAAGUAAAGGGGUUUUAGUCAGCACCGAGAAUGACCGUGACCGUGGCUGGUAUGCUCGAUUUAUUGCCGCCCCCACUCGUGGGUUAGUGGGUGAUGAAAACAUGCCUUUCCCUGAAAAGUGAAACUUUGCACCAACCGUGGAAGUCUUUGAAGAAAUUCCUAACUUUCGUGAUUCGGGAGAAAAAAUGAUGAUCGCUGCUCCCAUGGAUAAGAGAUCAUGGAAGUUUCUUUCACAAAAAUUUGGAUGGAAAAUGAAAACUCGCGAUCAUAAGUUUUUAGAAGAUACAAUAUGUAAUCACUCCCAGCAUUGCGGAAAUGCCGUUGCUUCGUUUUUCAGUUGAAUGCUGAAAUUUGACAUUGGUGUGUAAUGAACUUAGUUUGUCCUUGCUGAAGCCUAUUGCAUGCAAAGCAUAUUGAUGCAACUUUGAGCAUCUUGAAGACAUGAAGCAUAGCGUCUGACUUCUAUUUUUUCCUUCUGCAAUUGCAAAGAAGGAUUAGAGACUGAUCUCCAGAUACUGAACAGAUGGCAUGACAAAGACAGGUUAUAGAGUUGGAUACCUUGAGUGAAGCAGUGGUACCUAGAACCUAGUGCUAUCCAUGAAUGUCAUUAUCUGCUUAAUAAAGACAAGAGGGACUGUGUAGAAGUAAGAAGAUAAGUUGCAGAUUAACACCAAAUGUUAUCUUGGUAGAAAGUUUAGGACAGCUAUCCUCCUCUUUUUUCAAAAAAGGUACUCGUAUACUAAAUAGUACCACAUUCAAGUUUGACAAGUUAGGAGAGGGGUGUGCCUUAGCUGACCAUUAUCAAGAAAUGAACUUCACGGAAUCAGGCUGUGUCGACUGUAGUGGUUAUGUGGAAUCUGUUUAGCCGAAGAAGAUGUUCUUGUUGAUAUGAUGCAAAUCGAAAUAAUUGUGAACUAUAAGACAGUUCUGUCCCUACCUAUGCUUUGAUUGCUAGACAAAUGGGAGUCUCUCUGAUCUAUUCUUUUAUGUGACCUCUCUCCAGUUAAAUCCUGAAUAGCUGAAGUUGCAGUACGUUCAUACAAUAGGUAGCUUUUCAUGCCGCAUUGUAAUACUGGAAUACUUAGUUCCUGUUCUCCGUCAAUGUGUUGGAUUGCCCCUGGCUUAUCGUGUCUUUUAUAAAACACUUUGGAGAAAUCUUGCUAUUGUCUUGUAAAAUAUCUUCCUUCCGUUUAAACUAUAUGUCUUCAAACUUUAGCCUUCAGUCCAGCAUCUUCAACGGUACAGCUGACUGUAACUAUGAGAAUCUGUAUGCUUCUUUCUUGCAGCAUUUUGUUUAUGUUUUUUUGCUUUUGCCCCUUUAUCCUGCUCUCCAUCUCCUAAUUCUAAUUAAUUUGCUUCUUGCAGCAUUUUGUUUAUGUUUUUUUUGCUUUUGCCCCUUUAUCCUGCUCUCCCUUUAUCCUGCUCUCCAUCUCCUAAUUCUAAUUAAUUUGCUAAAAUUUGCGGAUAGGUGCCAAUAUCUUUUAAAUCCUUUUCACAAAGAGGUGUAAAGAACAAUGCCCCCCAGGGCUUUGUUCUAGUGGUAAGAGCAUAUCGAUGAUGUGUAGGCACACGUCGCAGGUUCGAAUCUUGCCUCAGAUAAAGCCAGAUAUUUAAGUGGAGAAGGGUAGAGGGGCGGGCCCAUCAUAUGCCGGAGUUUCGAACCCUUUGGCCGCCGGGGAUCUCUCGGUAGCGAGGAAAAACUGUAAACAACAAUACACCACAAUUUACGCAUGUUGUGAAAAGAGGAAAGAGGAGAGAAACUCUUACUGAACUUUUUUGGGUUAACAUAUAGGAGGGCUCUUUUUUAAUGGACUGAAGAAUCCUAAUUAUUGGGGUUUUCAAUUAUGAUAUAAUAGUUAAUAGUUAUCUUGUCAAUGGCAGAACAUUAGGAGUAAUUCUCACUAAGAUCAUUUUGACAACUCUUUUAGACUUAAUAGACUCCUUGUAUCUUGGAUAGGAGUUGAGCCAAAACUUUAGUACAGGUUCAACUCCUGAUUGUUGCCGGAACAGUGAUCAUCAUCGAAAGGUCAUAUUCUUUCUCAUAGACAGUUAUCGACACAACCAAAGAAAUAUGCCUUGCAGCACAUGGGAAAAAUCGUUUUGAUUUAGCGGAAAGAGAUUUUGGUGACACAAAUCUCUAUUAAAUCAUGUAAGCUUGAAUUAAAGUUGAAGGGUAACAAGAAAUUAUUGGAGUAAUUGCUUGCAAAGCCAGAGAAAAGUGACUGGAAGAGACGAUGCCGUCAGGAUGGUUGCCUGAAAGAGAUCAGCGCGGUGCCUCAAAUGUUCUCAGGAAAGAAAUGUGGAGCCUGAAAUGUCACAAUGCUGCCUAAUGAUGGCUGGAAAUAAGAAUAGUGCUGCCUAGAAUGGUUAUCAGAAAGAGGCAAGAGUAGUACUUAGAUUUCCACAAAUAUCGUAGAAGCUUAAUACGCCUAAUACCACAUGGAAGGAGAGAGACGAAGAGAAACUCUUAUUGGAACUGGUUGAUAACAUCAAGAAGGCUCCUUGUAGAAAAGUUUUGAACUAUAUAUGAGAUAAGGAAGUUUCAUGUUCCUAAGGUUUCCUAUUUAUUACACGACACUAAGGAUAUUUUCCAUAUUAUUCUUAUUGAUCCUCUUAACUUUCAUUGAUAAUAUAAUCAUUACCAAAUUCUCUACUAUUUAAUUUUUCUGUUAACUUUGAACAUCUUUUUUUCUUCUUAUUAUAGUGGUGUCAGGGUCACUUUGCUCGCACCUAGACUAUCCCACCGAAAAGCCUGCUGCAGGCCACCGUACACGUGUCGCGAAAUCAACUCACCAUGGUAGAGCAGAUAGGCUUAUACCGAGUGUCAUAGCUUAGCUUUGAACCUGAGAUCUCAGUUGAAUGGAGUUGAGAGUGAUGGCACGCUAAACGUUGACAAAGUGAAUGGUACUGUCUUUAAGGUAAGCUAGACAAGCUGGGGAGAACCUUUGAUGAAUGCAAACUACAAGGAACAAAACAAGUUGGCGGAUCAACUAACAAAGGGUUGAUAAAAUCAGCCACUAUUAGCAAAUUUAAUUUUGUUAUAUUGUGUAUUUAUUCUUUUCAUUUUUCAUUUAGAAUAUAUUGUUUAGCUGUUUUAUUGUUUUAUCUUAUAUUUGUUAUAAAGUUAAAUAUAUGUAUUUUAGUUUAUUUAACUUCAUGUAGGAAAAUGUAUUUAUUCUUCAAUUAGGAGUUUUAUCUAA
This is a long non-coding RNA of Nicotiana tabacum (common tobacco), 3415 nucleotides long. RefSeq lists it as uncharacterized. Lineage: Eukaryota; Viridiplantae; Streptophyta; Magnoliopsida; Solanales; Solanaceae. The record is from RefSeq and is a predicted model, not a curated record.